This is a long non-coding RNA of Cyprinus carpio (common carp), 3365 nucleotides long. RefSeq lists it as uncharacterized. NCBI's taxonomy places the organism in Eukaryota, Metazoa, Chordata, Actinopteri, Cypriniformes, Cyprinidae. The transcript has 4 exons. The record is from RefSeq and is a predicted model, not a curated record.
UACAAUUACAGUCAAAAACAUGUCCAAAAACUGAGCUGAGAGGAAAUAAUGGAUCGUUUGAUUCAUAAUGUGAGAGAACAGCUCAGUGUGACUCUAAUGGCAGCAUUGAGCUUGGUGGACAUCUUUCCACUAGAUGAAACUUCUCAAACCCAGACUUUCUCUAUUAUAAUUAAAGGGAUAGUUCACCCAAAAUGAAAAUUCAGGAGAAAUUUGAAAAGAGGAUGUUUCUACUACAUCAUCUAUGGGAGUGACAGUAAAUUUGACAUUGUUCUCCCUUCUGACUGCCAUUAUCGGUCUUUCUCUAUUUUUUAUUUAUUUAUUUAUUUUUUUUUAAAGUAAUUUUCGUGGAGUUUUUCUUUUGCUGUUUGAGCAAAUGGGAAUGCAAAAAAUAUAUAUUUGUGGUAGUCUCCAUGUAAUGCCAGGCCAGCAGGGGGAGCCCUCGCCCGAGUAUUGACUGUCACAAUCCCUCUGUUGCCUCGUUGGUGACUUCCUGUUUGGCAGCCAUAAAGCAUGGCUUGCCCAAACAAUCUCUGUGAAGUAUUGCCAGUCUCAGUGCCUUACCAAGUGUUCUCGUACCAUUGCCUGUUGAUAUUGUGUAUGAUUUCUUGCCUGUUUGACUCUACUUCUGUUUAUUGAGUUUUGAAUGUUUUUUGACUACUGCUUGUUUUCUGAUGCUGAUCCUGGUUUGCCCUUUAAUAAACUUCUGCAUAUGGAUUCUCACUUGGCUUCAGCCUUCUCGUUACAGAAUACUUUGCCACCUAUGAAUCCAGCGGAAGUUUCGGAGGUGCAAAGUGCUUUCGCCUAUCAAAGCGAGGUACUCAACGGCUACCAAAAACAACUUGAAAGCCUACAGUCCACUAACGAAUACUUGACACAUUACAUUUGUUCACUUCCUCCACCCAUGCCACAAAUGGAAAUCAUUCGGCAGCUGACUACGCAGUGGAGUUCAGAACGCUGGCAGCACAGAGUGGAUGGAAUGAUGUCUCGCUAAAAGCAGUUUUCCAGUGAAGCCUAACACAGCAACUUCAAGCAGAACUGGCCUGCAAGGGCUCUCUGAGGAGGAGAGAGUUCAAAGACGACAGCACAACUUGUGUUUCUAUUGUGGAGAGGCCGGACAUCAUAGGUUGACAUGCCCACACAAGACUCGGACGUUCUCAAAUUCCACACCCUGGCGCUGAUCGACUCUGGAGCUGCCUUAAACCUCAUUCAUAAAGACAUUGUCAUCAAAUAUAACAUUCCCACUCAAUCUUGUAAACCACCUAUCAAGAUUGGAGCAGUUGAUAAUUCACCCAUUGGAGAUGGCAUCACAGAACAAACUCACCCUAUUCAACUCCAAGUCGGAAUGUUCCAUCAAGAGGCUAUCUCAUUUUAUGUAAUCGACUCUCCAAGAAAUGAAAUCAUCCUAGGCUUUCCUUGGCUAUAAGUUCACGACCCAGUUAUUUCCUGGCAUCAUGGUGAGUUAACCCGCUGGUCAAAUUUCUGCUUAAUCCAUUGUAUGCACUCUGAUAUUUCAACCCAGUGCCUGUCUACCAGUGUUGAAAGCCCUGUCAUCGAACAAACCACAUUCACUUCAUGAGUCUGGAAAGCUUUCCGCAGGCAACUUGACAUAAACGUAAGCCUCACCUCAGGUUACCACCCUCAGUCUAAUGGACAAGUUGAACAACUCAACCAGAAGAUUGGAAGAUAUCUGCGGAGUUACUGUAGCCGGGAACAACAUCUUUGGGCAGAAUUCCUUCCAUGGGCCGAAUAUGCUCAAAAUUCCCUGACACAUUCUUCUACAGGACUAAACCCCUUCCAAUGUGUUCUGGGAUAUCAGUCUCUGUUUCCAUAGUCAGGAGAACCUUCAUCUGUCCCAGCGGUGGACAACUGGAUUAAGCAUAGUGAGAGGGUAUGGGACAGUGCUCACAUCCAUCUACAAAGGGCUGUCAGGACUCAAGGUUUCCAAGCCAACCAACAACCUCGUCCACACCUUUCCUACCAACCAGGACAACGGGUCUGGCUCUCCACAAGGGACCUCAAGCUACGGCUACCUAGUAGGAAGCUAAGCCCCAGGUGUGUUGGCCCUUUCAAGAUCAUUAGACAAAUCAAUGAAGUCAUUUACCAGCUUGAGCUUCCAGCCACUUAUCAUAUCUCUCCCUUUCAUGUGUCUCUCCUCAAACCCUUCCACCCAGACACUGACCCCAAUGUUUUGGCUGCCGAUUGGACUGAAUGACUGUGUUUAAACUACUGCCUGUUUUCUGUCGCUGUUCUGGUUUGCCCUUUAAUAAACUUCUGCAUAUGGAUUCUCACUCGGCUUCAGCCUCCUCGUUACACUCCAAUUCAGUGCUAUAGAGUGUUUGCACCUAUGUCACGGUUUGUUCAGUUACCCGGAUGUGAGACCAUAUUAGAGAUACCUGGAUGUAAAAAAACAGCAUGGAUUGCAUGGUGAAUGUACUACUGAAGACAGUGUUCUACGAAUUUGAUGUCUAACCCGCAGAAAAAAAAGUCUCAGUACCUGUAGGAGUUGUAGAUGGGGAAGGGAAUGUACAGCAUUCUCUUUUUAUCUGGGCACUGGAGAAGAUGGCUAUGUGUGCACUUGGAUGGGUUAAAUGCAGAGCACAAAUUCCGUGUAUGGGUUGCCAUACUUGGCAAAUGUCAUGACUUUCACGUCUUUCCUCAGACAGGUUUUUGCACUCUUCUCCUUGUUUUCCCAGUCCAACCAAUCAGUACAGCUGAAAACAUGACAAUUUACCAUUUUCAGCAGCAGUAAUCAGCACAAUUCUUCUUUGGUUCAGUGGCAUUGUUUACGUUCAGUACCGCUAAAAUGGUCGACUUCCGGAUUGAUGACGUGUCUUGAAAAAUAAGUUUACCUAACUAUGAUGACUUCUGCUGCUGAGAAACCCAGAAAUGUAAAAAAAAGUUCCACUGCCAGUAAGUUGACUUUUUGCUCUGCCAAAAAAAAAAAAAAAGAUGCUGCUCAUCUCUGAUCAACUCACAAUAGUGGCAUUUCUUUCCUGAAUGAAUCGGCAUUUGAAACGAAUUGGUCAAAUGAAAGAGUCAAUACUUUCUCAAAGACAUUCACCUGCUGCCACCUACUGCCACCUCUAUUAUAUAUAUAAUCAACUCAUUUGGAAAACAAAAUGAUAUUAUGUUGCUUAUUGCACAUUACUACACUUUAAAAGUGAAAUGUCCAAAUGAUUAGUUAGUGGUUUUAUACGAAACAGAUUAACGUGAAUCUGUAUGUUGUAGGCCUUUAACGUAUGACGGUCGAUCGGAAAUGCCUGGUACAUGUAACUAGCAAGAAAAGGUUAACACUAUUGUUUGAAAAAAAUAUAUACCACACAAUGUAAAUGAAACAAUAAAAUUCAUCUGAUGAAACAAGCAUA